GACGAACGCUGGCGGCGUGCUUAACACAUGCAAGUCGAACGGAAAGGCCCUGCUUUUGUGGGGUGCUCGAGUGGCGAACGGGUGAGUAACACUUGAGUAACCUGCCCUUGACUUUGGGAUAACUUCAGGAAACUGGGUCUAAUACCGGAUAGGAGCUCCUGCUGCAUGGUGGGGGUUGGUAAGUUUCGGCGGUUGGGGAUGGACUCGCGGCUUAUCAGCUUGUUUGUGGGGUAGUGGCUUACCAAGGCUUUGACGGGUAGCCGGCCUGAGAGGGUGACCGGCAAAAUUGGGACUGAGAUACGGCACAGACUAGUACGGGAGGCAGCAGAGGGGAAUAUAGCACAAUGGGAGGAAGCAUGAUGAAGAAAAGCAGCGUGGGGGAUGAGGGGAUUCGGGUAGUAAAGCGAAUUAGACUGUGACGAAGAGAGAGUGACGGUAAUGGGUAAAGAAGCACCGGCUAACUACGUG
RNAcentral lists this ribosomal RNA (468 nucleotides) under uncultured bacterium. RNAcentral's name for it is "partial 16S ribosomal RNA". It matches the Rfam family "Bacterial small subunit ribosomal RNA", at positions 28 to 507 of the family's 1533-position model. The record is from RNAcentral.